This 213-nucleotide ribosomal RNA is filed under the name uncultured fungus. Its description in RNAcentral is "partial small subunit ribosomal RNA". It matches the Rfam family "Eukaryotic small subunit ribosomal RNA", at positions 585 to 804 of the family's 1831-position model. Lineage: Eukaryota; Fungi. The record is from RNAcentral.
UCAGCUCCAUAGCGUAUAUUAAGUUGUUGCAGUUAAAAAGCUCGUAGUUGAAUUUCGGGAUCAAUAUUUCGGUCAUGCCGUUGGUAUGCACUGUUACCAUUGAUUUCUCACCUUCUAAGGAACCGUAAUGCCAUUAAUUUGGUGUUACGGGGAAUUAGGACUGUUACCUUGAAAAAAUUAGAGUGUUUAAAGCAGGCUCACGCUUGAAUACAC